UCCAGACGCUGAGUAUGAAGGAUGUUUCCAUGAUGACUCCCAGUCGACUACACUCCAUUCUCGCGCUACCAUGCCUCCAGUCACUCACCUUGAGGAAUGUCAGAGAAUUUAACACGGAUGAUAGAGAGACACUGACUGGUCAAACAUUCUCAGUAGAUGAGCUUUCUGUGGAUGGUAUGCAUGUGACCAUCCUGUGGAAUUUUGGACUUCAUACGUCAUGUCCAAGAGUUCAAAAACUCCUACUGGACUGGUCAGCCAUGGAGAAUGUCUCAUCAGACAUCGUCACAAUGGCCUGCUCUCCAUUCCAUGAUCUAACUCACCUUCACAUCCGGGGACAGAUGCCCUUCAGAGCAUCCACACUGAAUGAUCCUGUGUCAUUUUGCGAUGCUGUUAAAACGUCAUGUCCUCGACUCACCAAGCUGUCCCUUACCAACAUUGUCCUGACCAACAAGAAGGCAGCUGAGAUCAUCCAACUCUUGAAGACUCAUCCAAAUCUGACAAGCAUAGAGUUGAAAACGUGUGAUACCGACAUGGAUCUGAUCCACUGAUUUAUGAGGUGAACAGUGAAGGCAAGCUGACUGUCACAGUGACUUAAUUUUAGGUACUGCCAUUACCAUAAUGAUGGAUGGAAAGAUAACCCUCAAGUAAUAUGUGAUUUGCCAUCAAGAUACAACGUAUCAACAUUUUAAACACAUUGGGAGGUGACCCUCAUCAGACCAAAUGAUGGCAGCAGACUACUUUGGAUUUGAAAAUGAUACCUGUCAAAUGUAACCAGGCUACCCGAAUAACUAAUUUUACUAAUUGAAGGAUCAUUAGAGUUAAAACGUAUGGAAAACAGUAUCUUAAGCAAUUAAUGAUUAUACCCUGUCAUGAUACUUUUCAUGAAUAACUUUAUAAUUACGUUGAAGCAUAUAUGGAGCUCCAAGAUAAGCAAAGGUUUGACGCCUUGUGUGCCCUCACCAUUUGAUAUAAUAAAAGAGGCUUCCUGGUGAUGUAAAUAGUAUAGAUUAUUAAUGUUAAAGACAUCGUUUAACAAUGUUAAAUCUCAGAUGCACGGCCCUACGUGUUUUCAGUGUCUUUGAUAUGGUGUAAUAUUGAAGCCCUAAAAAAUU
Strongylocentrotus purpuratus (purple sea urchin) is the source of this 1112-nucleotide RNA transcript. RefSeq lists it as uncharacterized. The transcript is spliced from 4 exons. Lineage: Eukaryota; Metazoa; Echinodermata; Echinoidea; Camarodonta; Strongylocentrotidae. The record is from RefSeq and is a predicted model, not a curated record.